RNAcentral lists this ribosomal RNA (587 nucleotides) under uncultured bacterium. Its description in RNAcentral is "bacterial SSU rRNA". It matches the Rfam family "Bacterial small subunit ribosomal RNA", at positions 117 to 718 of the family's 1533-position model. The record is from RNAcentral.
GUGGGCAAUCUGCCCUUCACUCUGGGACAAGCCCUGGAAACGGGGUCUAAUACCGGAUAACACCCCCUCUCGCAUGGGAGGGGGUUGAAAGCUCCGGCGGUGAAGGAUGAGCCCGCGGCCUAUCAGCUAGUUGGUGAGGUAGAAGCUCACCAAGGCGACGACGGGUAGCCGGCCUGAGAGGGCGACCGGCCACACUGGGACUGAGACACGGCCCAGACUCCUACGGGAGGCAGCAGUGGGGAAUAUUGCACAAUGGGCGAAAGCCUGAUGCAGCGACGCCGCGUGAGGGAUGACGGCCUUCGGGUUGUAAACCUCUUUCAGCAGGGAAGAAGCGAAAGUGACGGUACCUGCAGAAGAAGCGCCGGCUAACUACGUGCCAGCAGCCGCGGUAAUACGUAGGGCGCAAGCGUUGUCCGGAAUUAUUGGGCGUAAAGAGCUCGUAGGCGGCUUGUCGCGUCGGUUGUGAAAGCCCGGGGCUUAACCCCGGGUCUGCAGUCGAUACGGGCAGGCUAGAGUUCGGUAGGGGAGAUCGGAAUUCCUGGUGUAGCGGUGAAAUGCGCAGAUAUCAGGAGGAACACCGGUGGCGA